This 475-nucleotide ribosomal RNA is filed under the name Peripatoides novaezealandiae. RNAcentral describes it as "partial 16S ribosomal RNA". It matches the Rfam family "Bacterial large subunit ribosomal RNA", at positions 1817 to 2600 of the family's 2925-position model. The record is from RNAcentral. Lineage: Eukaryota; Metazoa; Onychophora; Udeonychophora; Euonychophora; Peripatopsidae.
UGCUUUUUGUAAAUAUAAAAAGUAAUACCUGCCCAAUGAGUUAUUUAAAUGGCCGCAGUAUUUUAACUGUGCAAAGGUAGCAUAAUCAUUUGUUUUAUAAAUUAAAACUUGUAUGAAUGGAAAAAUGUAAAUAUAACUGUCUUUUUUUUAUAGAUAAAAUUUGCUUUUUCAGUGAAGAAGCUGAAUUAUUUUAGAAAGACGAAAAGACCCUAUGAGUUUUUAAUAUUAAUAUAUUAAUAUAUAUUAAUAUUUUUAAUUGGGGUGAUUAAAGAAUAUAUCUUCUUUUCAAAAUAUAAAAUUAUAAUUUUUGAUCCAUUAAUAAUGAAUAAAAGUUUAAAUUACCAUAGGGGUAACAGCAUAAUUUUUUUUAAGAGUACAUAUUGACAAAAAAGAUUGUGACCUCGAUGUUGGUUUAAGAAAAUUUUAUAAUGAAGCAGUUAUAUAAAUAAGUUUGUUCAACUUUUAAAUUCUUACA